UAAUACGUAGGGUGCGAGCGUUGUCCGGAAUUAUUGGGCGUAAAGGGCUCGUAGGCGGUUUGUCGCGUCGGGAGUGAAAACCUUGGGCUUAACUCAGGGCUUGCUUUCGAUACGGGCAGACUAGAGGUAUGCAGGGGAGAACGGAAUUCCUGGUGUAGCGGUGAAAUGCGCAGAUAUCAGGAGGAACACCGGUGGCGAAGGCGGUUCUCUGGGCAUGAUCUGACGCUGAGGAGCGAAAGUGUGGGGAGCGAACAGGAUUAGAUACCCUGGUAGUCCACACCGUAAACGUUGGGCGCUAGGUGUGGGAUCCAUUCCACGGGUUCCGUGCCGCAGCUAACGCAUUAAGCGCCCCGCCUGGGGAGUACGGCCGCAAGGCUA
This 378-nucleotide ribosomal RNA is filed under the name uncultured bacterium. RNAcentral's name for it is "bacterial SSU rRNA". It matches the Rfam family "Bacterial small subunit ribosomal RNA", at positions 521 to 896 of the family's 1533-position model. The record is from RNAcentral.